This is a non-coding RNA of Oryza glumipatula, 205 nucleotides long. NCBI's taxonomy places the organism in Eukaryota, Viridiplantae, Streptophyta, Magnoliopsida, Poales, Poaceae. The record is from Rfam.
AAAGACUUAAUUCCUGGGUUUUCGUGUCCUAUGUUUGACUGUUCGUCUUAUAUGAUUUUUUUAAUUAGUAUUUUCAUUGUUGUUAAAUGAUAAAACAUGAAUAAUACUUUAUGUGUGAUUUAUUUUUUUUAUUUUUUUUUCAUAAUUUUUUCAAAUAAGACGGACGGUCAAAUGUUGUACACGGAAACUCAGGAAUUGAGUUAUU